Thiovulum sp. ES is the source of this 2821-nucleotide ribosomal RNA. It matches the Rfam family "Bacterial large subunit ribosomal RNA". NCBI's taxonomy places the organism in Bacteria, Pseudomonadati, Campylobacterota, Epsilonproteobacteria, Campylobacterales, Sulfurimonadaceae. The record is from Rfam.
GGAAAAGUUACUCAAGGUUAAUGGUGGAUGCCUUGGCUGAUGGAGGCGAUGAAGGACGUAUUAGACUGCGAUAAGGCUCGACGAGUUGUCAAAAAACUUUGACUCGAGCAUCUCCGAAUAGGGCAACCCUUUAAGCAUUGCGCGAACCUAGUGAAGUGAAACAUCUCAGUAGCUAGAGGAAAAGAAAUCAAACGAGAUUCCCAAAGUAGUGGCGAACGAAAUGGGAACAGGGCUGUGUUAUUUAGGUUGAGAAAUAGAAAAAUCUUCUGGAAAGUUGAACUACAAAGAGUGAAAGUCUCGUAUUCAAAAUUUCUCUUCUGGAACUAGGAACACGAAUGAGUAGGUCGGGACACGUGUAAUCUUGACUGAAUAUGGGGGGACCACCCUCCAACCCUAAAUACUACCAUCAGACCGAUAGCGAACAAGUACCGUGAGGGAAAGGUGAAAAGAACCCCAGUGAGGGGAGUGAAAUAGAACCUGAAACCAUUAACUAACAAUCAUUCAAAGCACUUUUUAUGUGUGAUGGACUGCCUUUUGCAUAAUGAACCUGCGAGUUGUGUUGUUUGGCAAGGUUAAAUUGAAGCCGGAGCGAAAGCGAGUCUUAAUAGGGCGAUUAGUCAAACAGUGCAGACCCGAAACCGAGUGAUCUAUCCAUGUGCAGGUUGAAGCUGGUGUAAGAGCCAGUGGAGGACCGAACGGGUAAGCGUUGAAAAGCUUUCCGAUGACGUGUGGAUGGGGGUGAAAGGCCAAUCAAACUCGGUGAUAGCUGGUUCUCUCCGAAAUAUAUUUAGGUAUAGCCUCGAGUAGUAGCAUAGAGGGGUAGAGCACUGAAUGGGCUAGGGCUGCUCACCGCGGUACCAAACCCAAUCAAACUCCGAAUACUCUAUGUGUAAUCUCGGGAGUCAGGCGAUGGGUGAUAAAAUCCACCGUCGAGAGGGGAACAACCCAGACUGCCAACUAAGGUCCCAAAGUUCUAUCUAAGUGGAAAACGAUGUGACAUUGCUUUGACAAUUAGGAGGUUGGCUUAGAAGCAGCCACCCUUUAAAGAAAGCGUAACAGCUCACUAAUCUAGCGAUGAUGCGCGGAAAAUAUAACGGGGCUAAGAUAGACACCGAAGUUGCAGACUCUGAACUUGUUUCAGAGUGGUAGGAGAGCGUUCUAAGGUCGCUGAAGAUGUACCGACGAGGAGCAUUGGAGAGCUUAGAAGUGAGCAUGCAGGUAUGAGUAGCGAUAAAAGAGGUGAGAAUCCUCUUCGCCGAAAACCCAAGGUUUCCUACACGAUGCUCGUCAUUGUAGGGUUAGUCGGGUCCUAAGUCGAGUCCGAAAGGGGUAGACGAUGGCAAAUCGGUUAAUAUUCCGAUACCAGUUGUAGAGCGUGAUGGAAGGACGCAUAGGGCUAUCUGAGGUCGCUGAUGGAUUAGCGGCUCGAAGCACAAAGUUAAGGGAAUUGGUAAAUCCGUCCCUGUUUGCGAAGUGUUACAGGCUCUUCAAACCCUUCGGGGAGCGAGGAGAAUCAGGGAUGCCGUCGUGCCUAGAAAAGUUCCUAAGCAUAUCUACAAUUGCCCGUACCGUAAACCGACACAGGUGGGUGAGAUGAGUAUUCUAAGGCGCGCAGAAGAACUGUGAUUAAGGAACUCUGCAAAAUAGCACCGUAUCUUCGGUAUAAGGUGUGCUUUCUUCGGAAAGUCUCAGCAAAGAGUCCCUCCCGACUGUUUACCAAAAACACAGCACUCUGCCAACAAGCGAUUGGAUGUAUAGGGUGUGACACCUGCCCGGUGCUGGAAUGUUAAGGGGAUGUGUUAGGCAACGAAGCAUUGAACCGAAGCACCAGUAAACGGCGGCCGUAACUAUAACGGUCCUAAGGUAGCGAAAUUCCUUGUCGGUUAAAUACCGACCUGCAUGAAUGGUGUAACGAGAUGGGAGCUGUCUCAAUCACAGAUCUGGUGAAAUUGUAGUGGAGGUGAAAAUUCCUCCUACCCGCGGAAAGACGGAAAGACCCCGUGGACCUUUACUAUAGCUUGACACUGCAGAUGGGAUAUUUAUGUGCAGGAUAGGUGGGAGCUGUCGAUAUAUGGACGCUAGUUCAUAAGUAGGCAUCCUUGAGAUACCACCCUUAAAUAUUCUGUUUGCUAACUGCGAUGAGUUAUCCUCAUUCAGGACAAUGUCUGGUGGGUAGUUUGACUGGGGCGGUCGCCUCCUAAAGAGUAACGGAGGCUUACAAAGGUUGGUUCAAAACGGUUGGAAAUCGUUUGUAGAGUGUAAUGGCAUAAACCAGCCUGACUGUAAGACAUACACGUCAAGCAGAGACGAAAGUCGGUCAUAGUGAUCCGGUGGUUUUGCGUGGAAGAACCAUCGCUCAAAGGAUAAAAGGUACCCCGGGGAUAACAGGCUGAUCUCCCCCAAGAGCUCACAUCGACGGGGAGGUUUGGCACCUCGAUGUCGGCUCAUCGCAUCCUGGGGCUGGAGCAGGUCCCAAGGGUAUGGCUGUUCGCCAUUUAAAGCGGUACGCGAGCUGGGUUCAGAACGUCGUGAGACAGUUCGGUCCCUAUCUUCCGUGGGCGCAGGAAAGUUGAGAAGGUUUGUCCCUAGUACGAGAGGACCGGGAUGAACGUGCCACUGGUGUACCAGUUGUUCUGCCAAGAGCAUCGCUGGGUAGCUAAGCACGGUUGUGAUAAGAGCUGAAAGCAUCUAAGCUCGAAGCCAUCUUCAAGAUGAACUUUCCCUGAAGAUAACUUGAAGACUACAAGUUUGAUAGGUUGGAUGUGUAAGUGUAGUGAUACAUUUAGCUGACCAAUACUAAUCAAUCGUUUGACUUUUCCAA